RNAcentral lists this transfer RNA (66 nucleotides) under Utra nitida. RNAcentral's name for it is "tRNA-Arg". Lineage: Eukaryota; Metazoa; Arthropoda; Insecta; Coleoptera; Cerambycidae. The record is from RNAcentral.
GAAUAAGAAGCGAAAUCUCGCAUUUAGUUUCGGCCUAAAAACUUGAUGGUUAUACAUCCUUAUUUA